This is a long non-coding RNA of Capsicum annuum, 962 nucleotides long. RefSeq lists it as uncharacterized. The record is from RefSeq and is a predicted model, not a curated record. The transcript is spliced from 4 exons. Lineage: Eukaryota; Viridiplantae; Streptophyta; Magnoliopsida; Solanales; Solanaceae.
UACCACUUUUCAUGAAUUUGAUGUGGAUAAGUAUUUUGGGGAUGUUUAAUUUGAAUUUGUGCUUUACUUCUUUGAAGUUGGGUUAUGAAAGAAAGAGGAAAAAUGGAAAAUUUUGAUAAAAAGGGUUUUUUUAGGGAUUUCUAUCAAUUAGGUGGAUGUAUUGUUGAAUUGUAUAAGUUGAAAGAGUUAGACUUUACUCCGAAUUCUGGAUAAGUAGUUCGAUUAAUUUCGAACAUAAGUGAGGAGUAUUGAAAUAAGUUGCUAAACAAUUCUUCGGAUUAUUGAUGGACAUAUAUGGUAUCCUUGUAGCUAGUGAAUUGAUCAGAUAGAAGGAAUUAGUGGUUGGUAAGAUAAAGGUUGCACGCUCGUUGGUUGAAUCACUUGGGGCUCGAAUUACUAUCAUAGUUAAUAAAGCAAUAAGGCUCCGAUCCUCCUGAUCGCAGACAUCCACGUUAGGCUCUAUUGCCAUUUUCAGCGGAUAUUUUGGUACAUGGAAACAACGUGCAGAUGUAGAGUAUAAGGCUCCGAUCCUCCUGAUCGCAGACAUCCACGUUAGGCUCUAUUACCGUUUUCAGCUGAUAUUUUGGUGAGCUCCAACUCUCUCUGGAGCCAGUCUAUGCCUAAUAUUUUUUAUUAUAUGUACAGGUUUCUGGUUGGGCAUGACGGGCCGGAUACCAACUGGUCACUUGUAGUAUAGUGUGUUAAACUAACUAGAGGCUUCAUGGACAUCGUGUAGUAUUGUAUAGUUUUGUUAAUGUAAAUCCCUCGUGUAUAUAUGCAACUCUUAUUGAAUACCUUGCUCUUUAUUAUUCCAUAACCUCGCGUACGUCACAGAGUGCUUGUAGAAUGUGUGUAUACGAUUCUUGUUCGUCCUUAAUUUGGGGCGUGACAUCAACAUUGAUUUAAUAUUUUUGUCCAAGUAGAAAUCUAUGCUUAUAGGAUAUGAAGUUGGGUUGGUUCCU